UACGUAGGGUGCAAGCGUUAAUCGGAAUUACUGGGCGUAAAGCGUGCGCAGGCGGUGAUGUAAGACAGGUGUGAAAUCCCCGGGCUUAACCUGGGAACUGCAUUUGUGACUGCAUCGCUGGAGUGCGGCAAAGGGGGAUGGAAUUCCGCGUGUAGCAGUGAAAUGCGUAGAGAUGCGGAGGAACACCGAUGGCGAAGGCAGCCCCCUGGGCUAGCACUGACGCUCAGGCACGAAAGCGUGGGGAGCAAACAGG
This 253-nucleotide ribosomal RNA is filed under the name uncultured bacterium. Its description in RNAcentral is "partial 16S ribosomal RNA". It matches the Rfam family "Bacterial small subunit ribosomal RNA", at positions 524 to 776 of the family's 1533-position model. The record is from RNAcentral.